RNAcentral lists this ribosomal RNA (492 nucleotides) under uncultured bacterium. RNAcentral describes it as "partial 16S ribosomal RNA". It matches the Rfam family "Bacterial small subunit ribosomal RNA", at positions 29 to 507 of the family's 1533-position model. The record is from RNAcentral.
AGUGAACGCUGGCGGUAGGCCUAACACAUGCAAGUCGAACGGCAGCACAGUAAGAGCUUGCUCUUACGGGUGGCGAGUGGCGGACGGGUGAGGAAUACAUCGGAAUCUACUUUUUCGUGGGGGAUAACGUAGAGAAACUUACGCUAAUACCGCAUACGACCUACGGGUGAAAGCAGGGGAUCUUCGGACCUUGCGCGAUUGAAUGAGCCGAUGUCGGAUUAGCUAGUUGGCGGGGUAAAGGCCCACCAAGGCGACGAUCCGUAGCUGGUCUGAGAGGAUGAUCAGCCACACUGGAACUGAGACACGGUCCAGACUCCUACGGGAGGCUGCAGUGGGGAAUAUUGGACAAAGGGCGCAAGCCUGAUCCAGCCAUACCGCGUGGGUGAAGAAGGCCUUCGGGUUGUAAAGCCCUUUUGUUGGGAAAGAAAAGCAGCAGGUUAAUACCCCGCUGUUCUGACGGUACCCAAAGAAUAAGCACCGGCUAACUUCGUG